This 494-nucleotide ribosomal RNA is filed under the name uncultured bacterium. RNAcentral's name for it is "bacterial SSU rRNA". It matches the Rfam family "Bacterial small subunit ribosomal RNA", at positions 903 to 1397 of the family's 1533-position model. The record is from RNAcentral.
AAAGGAAUAGACGGGGACCCGCACAAGCAGCGGAGCAUGUGGUUUAAUUCGAAGCAACGCGAAAAACCUUACCAAGACUUGACAUCCUCUGACGGAUAUGGAAACAUAAACUUCUCUUUACGAGACAGGGAGACAGGUGGUGCAUGGUUGUCGUCAGCUCGUGUCGUGAGAUGUUGGGUUAAGUCCCGCAACGAGCGCAACCCUUAUGAACAGUUGCCAAUAUUAAGUUAGGAACUCUGUUCAGACUGCCGUGGAUAACACGGAGGAAGGUGGGGAUGACGUCAAAUCAUCAUGCCCCUUACGUCUUGGGCUACACACGUGCUACAAUGGCUAUUACAAAGAGCAGCGAAACGGCAACGUUAAGCAAAUCUCAAAAAGGUAGUCUCAGUUCGGAUUGUGGGCUGAAACCCGCCCACAUGAAGUCGGAGUUGCUAGUAAUCCCGAAUCAGCAUGUCGGGGUGAAUGCGUUCCCGGGUCUUGUACACACCGCCCGU